AAUGGCGAUAUUAUAAUGACUCAGACUCCACUCGCCCUGGCUGUCACCCUGGGAGAGACGGUCUCCCUCUCCUGCAGGUCAAGUCAGAGCCUCAUAAAUAGCGAUGGAGAUAGUCUUCUGUAUUGGCUCCUUCAGAAGCCUGGCCAGUCACCACAGAGAUGGAUCUAUUGGGCUUCCAAACGACCUUCUGGGGUCCCAGACAGAUUCAGUGGCAGUGGGUCAGGCACAGAUUUCACACUGCAAAUCAGCAGGGUGGAGGCUGAGGAUAUUGGCGUUUAUUACUGCAUGCAAGACAUAGAUACUCCAU
This is a long non-coding RNA of Dipodomys spectabilis (banner-tailed kangaroo rat), 307 nucleotides long. RefSeq lists it as uncharacterized. The transcript has 3 exons. Lineage: Eukaryota; Metazoa; Chordata; Mammalia; Rodentia; Heteromyidae. The record is from RefSeq and is a predicted model, not a curated record.